Transfer RNA from Camelus ferus (Wild Bactrian camel), 72 nucleotides. It matches the Rfam family "tRNA". From Rfam's summary of the family: Transfer RNA (tRNA) molecules are approximately 80 nucleotides in length. The record is from Rfam. Lineage: Eukaryota; Metazoa; Chordata; Mammalia; Artiodactyla; Camelidae.
GAAGGUGUAGCUCCGUGGUAGAGUGCAUGCCUAGCAUGCAGGAAGUCCUGGGUUCAAUCCUCAGUACCUUCA